This 24-nucleotide small nuclear RNA is filed under the name Arabidopsis thaliana (thale cress). RNAcentral's name for it is "snRNA_13672". The record is from RNAcentral. Lineage: Eukaryota; Viridiplantae; Streptophyta; Magnoliopsida; Brassicales; Brassicaceae.
UAUAUAUACAUAAUGAUUUAUAAC